RNAcentral lists this ribosomal RNA (496 nucleotides) under uncultured bacterium. RNAcentral describes it as "partial 16S ribosomal RNA". It matches the Rfam family "Bacterial small subunit ribosomal RNA", at positions 29 to 507 of the family's 1533-position model. The record is from RNAcentral.
AUGAACGCUGGCGGCGUGCCUAAUACAUGCAAGUCGAGCGAACAGACGAGGAGCUUGCUCCUCUGACGUUAGCGGCGGACGGGUGAGUAACACGUGGAUAACCUACCUAUAAGACUGGGAUAACUUCGGGAAACCGGAGCUAAUACCGGAUAAUAUAUUGAACCGCAUGGUUCAAUAGUGAAAGACGGUUUUGCUGUCACUUAUAGAUGGAUCCGCGCCGCAUUAGCUAGUUGGUAAGGUAACGGCUUACCAAGGCAACGAUGCGUAGCCGACCUGAGAGGGUCAUCGGCCACACUGGAACUGAGACACGGUCCAGACUCCUACGGGAGGCAGCAGUAGGGAAUCUUCCGCAAUGGGCGAAAGCUUGACGGAGCAACGCCGCGUGAGUGAUGAAGGUCUUCGGAUCGUAAAACUCUGUUAUUAGGGAAGAACAAAUGUGUAAGUAACUAUGCACGUCUUGACGGUACCUAAUCAGAAAGCCACGGCUAACUACGUG